GAUGAACGCUGGCGGCGUGCCUAACACAUGCAAGUCGAGCGGCAGCGCGGGGUGCUUGCACCCUGUCGGCGAGCGGCGGACGGCUGAGUAACGCGUGGGAACGUGCCCCAAAGUGAGGAAUAACUGCCCGAAAGGGUAGCUAAUACCGCAUAUUAUCUUCGGAUCAAAGGAUUUAUCCGCUUUGGGAGCGGCUCGCGUCGGAUUAGGUAGUUGGUGAGGUAAUGGCUCACCAAGCCGACGAUCCGUAGCUGGGCUGAGAGGAUGACCAGCCAGACUGGAACUGAGACACGGUCCAGACUCCUACGGGAGGCAGCAGUGAGGAAUCUUCCACAAUGGGCGAAAGCCUGAUGGAGCAACGCCGCGGGCAGGACGAAGGCCUUCGGGUUGUAAACUGCUUUUAUAAGUGAGGAAUAUGACGGUAACUUAUGAAUAAGGAUCGGCUAACUACGUG
This 451-nucleotide ribosomal RNA is filed under the name uncultured bacterium. RNAcentral describes it as "partial 16S ribosomal RNA". It matches the Rfam family "Bacterial small subunit ribosomal RNA", at positions 28 to 507 of the family's 1533-position model. The record is from RNAcentral.